RNAcentral lists this ribosomal RNA (441 nucleotides) under uncultured bacterium. RNAcentral's name for it is "partial 16S ribosomal RNA". It matches the Rfam family "Bacterial small subunit ribosomal RNA", at positions 338 to 795 of the family's 1533-position model. The record is from RNAcentral.
CCUACGGGAGGCAGCAGUGGGGAAUAUUGCACAAUGGGGGAAAGCCUGAAGCAGCGAAGUAGCGUGAGGGAUGAAGGCUUUCGGUAUGUAAAGCUUUAUUUGUAGGGACGUGAAAAGUCGGUAGUUGGCUAUGAUGUAUCGGCUAAAUGCGUGCCAGUCGGCGCGGUAAUUCGGAGGGGGCGAGCGUUUUCCGGAAUCACUGGGUGUAAAGGGAGCGUAGACGGUUUAUCAAGCCAGAGGUGAAAGGCGGGGGCACAACCCCCGGACUGCAUUGGAAACUGUACGUUUUGAGUACAGUAGAGGUAAGUGGAAUUCCUAGUGUAGCGGUGAAAUGCUUAGAUAUUAGGAGGAACACCAGUGGCGAAGGCAGCUUACUGGACUGUAACUGACAUUGAGGCUCGAAAGCGUGGGUAGCAAACAGGAUUAGAUACCCGAGUAGUC